This is a non-coding RNA of Phthorimaea operculella (potato tuberworm), 76 nucleotides long. NCBI's taxonomy places the organism in Eukaryota, Metazoa, Arthropoda, Insecta, Lepidoptera, Gelechiidae. The record is from the annotation of a GenBank genome assembly.
GCCGCUGUAGCCAAGAUGGUUAAGGCGUCGUAAGUACAGAUGGCGAAGGUCACUGGUUCAAAUUCAGCCUGCGGUG